AUGGCUAAAUUAGGAAAGCGUUUCACUUACACCGAAAAGUCAUCCGCGCAAAUCGGAUUAUUCUGACACUCAAAAGCUAGCUUUAUACAACACCUAACACGAAGAUAUCAAUACAUGUUAACAUACUAAUCAUUUAAUUAAAACAUUUUCCACAUCUUAGUACAGGAGAUAGAAAAGGAAGAGUAAGCUAUAGUUUAAGUACCGCAAGGGAAUGCUGAAAGAGAAAUGAAAAAACUCAGUAAAGUAAAACAAAGCAGAGAUAAAAACUCGUACCUUUUGCAUCAUGAUUUAGCAAGAACUAAUUAAGCAAAAUGUUUUCUAGUUUACUACCCCGAAACUAAGUGAGCUACUCCAAGACAACUUAAUAAAAGGGUAAACACGUCUCUGUGGCAAAAGAGUGUGAAGAUCUUUGAGUAGAGGUGACAAACCUACCGAACUUAGUUAUAGCUGGUUGUCUGAGAAUUAAAUAGAAGUUUAGCCUUUUAUUUUCUGAGUUUUACUCUGAUUUAUCGUUAUGAUAAUAAAAGAAUAUUAAAGAGUUAUUCAUAAGGGGUUCAGCUCUUAUGAAAAAGGAUACAACCUUAAUGGGUGGUUAAUGAAUAUAUAAAGUUAAUGUUUUAGUAGGCUUGAAAGCAGCCACCUAAGAAAAAAGCGUUAAAGC
This 661-nucleotide ribosomal RNA is filed under the name Nothobranchius wattersi. Its description in RNAcentral is "partial 16S ribosomal RNA". The stretch from base 252 to 661 matches the Rfam family "Bacterial large subunit ribosomal RNA", at positions 568 to 1141 of the family's 2925-position model. Lineage: Eukaryota; Metazoa; Chordata; Actinopteri; Cyprinodontiformes; Nothobranchiidae. The record is from RNAcentral.